Molecule: ribosomal RNA, 389 nt
Filed under: uncultured bacterium
Lineage: Bacteria
Description: bacterial SSU rRNA
Rfam family: Bacterial small subunit ribosomal RNA
Source: RNAcentral
GGGCUUACACAAGCGGUGGAGCAUGUGGUUUAAUUCGAAACAACGCGCAAAACCUUACCAAUCCUUGACAUAUGAAAAACCAGGGUGUUUACCCGCUCUGUCUCUUUUAUACAGGUGCUGCAUGGCUGUCGUCAGUUCGUGGUGUGAGCUGUUGGGUUAAGUCCCAGAACGAACGCAACCCUCCUUUGAAAUGAAGGUUUACCUUUUUCAAAGACUGCCAAGGAUAUCUUGGAGGAAGGUGAGGAUGACGUCAAGUCCGCAUGGCCCUUAUGGGUUGGGCUACACACGUGCUACAAUGGGAAUGACAAUGGGUUCCGAAGCCGCGAGGUGUAGGCAAUCCCAUCAAAGCGGGCCCCAGUUCGGAUUGCAGGCUGAAAUUCGCCUGCAUG